UCCCUGGUAGCCCAGAGGGUAAAGCAUCUGCCUGCAAUGCGGGAGACCCAGGUUCAAUCCCUGGAUUGGGAA
RNAcentral lists this transfer RNA (72 nucleotides) under Bos taurus (domestic cattle). It matches the Rfam family "tRNA". From Rfam's summary of the family: Transfer RNA (tRNA) molecules are approximately 80 nucleotides in length. Lineage: Eukaryota; Metazoa; Chordata; Mammalia; Artiodactyla; Bovidae. The record is from Rfam by way of RNAcentral. RNAcentral also lists the same sequence under 3 other names.